CCUACGGGUGGCAGCAGUGGGGAAUAUUGGACAAUGGGCGAAAGCCUGAUCCAGCCAUGCCGCGUGUGUGAAGAAGGCCUUCGGGUUGUAAAGCACUUUCAGUGGGGAAGAAAGCCUUGGGGCUAAUACCCUCGAGGAAGGACAUCACCCACAGAAGAAGCACCGGCUAACUCCGUGCCAGCAGCCGCGGUAAUACGGAGGGUGCGAGCGUUAAUCGGAAUUACUGGGCGUAAAGCGCGCGUAGGCGGUCUGAUAAGCCGGUUGUGAAAGCCCCGGGCUCAACCUGGGAGCGGCAUCCGGAACUGUCAGGCUAGAGUGCAGGAGAGGAAGGUAGAAUUCCCGGUGUAGCGGUGAAAUGCGUAGAGAUCGGGAGGAAUACCAGUGGCGAAGGCGGCCUUCUGGACUGACACUGACGCUGAGGUGCGAAAGCGUGGGUAGCAAACAGGAUUAGAUACCCGUGUAGUC
Molecule: ribosomal RNA, 465 nt
Filed under: Vreelandella stevensii
Lineage: Bacteria; Pseudomonadati; Pseudomonadota; Gammaproteobacteria; Oceanospirillales; Halomonadaceae
Description: partial 16S ribosomal RNA
Rfam family: Bacterial small subunit ribosomal RNA
Source: RNAcentral